This 499-nucleotide ribosomal RNA is filed under the name uncultured Sinobacteraceae bacterium. Its description in RNAcentral is "bacterial SSU rRNA". It matches the Rfam family "Bacterial small subunit ribosomal RNA", at positions 369 to 890 of the family's 1533-position model. Lineage: Bacteria; Pseudomonadati; Pseudomonadota; Gammaproteobacteria; Nevskiales; Nevskiaceae. The record is from RNAcentral.
ANAUGNCGAANCUGAUGCAGCAACGCCGCGUGAGCGAUGAAGGCCUUCGGGUCGUAAAGCUCUGUCCUCAAGGAAGAUAAUGACGGUACUUGAGGAGGAAGCCCCGGCUAACUACGUGCCAGCAGCCGCGGUAAUACGUAGGGGGCUAGCGUUAUCCGGAAUUACUGGGCGUAAAGGGUGCGUAGGUGGUUUCUUAAGUCAGAGGUGAAAGGCUACGGCUCAACCGUAGUAAGCCUUUGAAACUGGAAAACUUGAGUGCUGGAGAGGAGAGUGGAAUUCCUAGUGUAGCGGGGAAAUGCGUAGAUAUUAGGAGGAACACCAAUUGCGAAGGCGGCUCUCUGGACUGUAACUGACACUGAGGCACGAAAACGUGGGGAGCAAACAGGAUUAGAUACCCUGGUAGUCCACGCCGUAAACAAUGAGUACUAGCUGUCGGAGGUUACCCCCUUCGGUGGCGCAGCUAACGCAUUAAGUACUCCGCCUGGGAAGUACGCUCGCA